GUCGGAGACGGCGAUGGAUCCCGCCUGGGCGUGCCGGCUUCACCCCGAACUGCCAGCUCCGGCUGAUGGUUCCUGACUCGUC
RNAcentral lists this non-coding RNA (82 nucleotides) under Humibacillus sp. RNAcentral describes it as "Fluoride sequence". It matches the Rfam family "Fluoride riboswitch aptamer (crcB RNA motif)". The record is from RNAcentral. Lineage: Bacteria; Bacillati; Actinomycetota; Actinomycetes; Micrococcales; Intrasporangiaceae.